CCUACGGGUGGCUGCAGUGAGGAAUAUUGGUCAAUGGACGAGAGUCUGAACCAGCCACGUCGCGUGAAGGAUGACUGCCCUAUGGGUUGUAAACUUCUUUUAUAUGGGAAUAAAACGUUCCACGUGUGGGAUUUUGUAUGUACCAUAUGAAUCCGGAUCGGCUAACUCCGUGCCAGCAGCCGCGGUACUAAGGAGGCUACGAGCGUUAUCCGGAUUUAUGUGGUUUAACGGGAGCGUAGGUGGAUUGUUAAGUCAGUUGUGAAAGUUUGCGGCUCAACCGUAAAAUUGCAGUUGAAACUGGCAGUCUUGAGUACAGUAGAGGUGGGCGGAAUUCGUGGUGUAGCGGUGAAAUGCUUAGAUAUCACGAAGAACUCCGAUUGCGAAGGCAGUUCACUGGACUGCAACUGACACUGAGGCUCGAAAGUGUGGGUAGCAAACAGGAUUAGAUACCCUUGUAGUC
This 460-nucleotide ribosomal RNA is filed under the name uncultured bacterium. RNAcentral's name for it is "partial 16S ribosomal RNA". It matches the Rfam family "Bacterial small subunit ribosomal RNA", at positions 338 to 795 of the family's 1533-position model. The record is from RNAcentral.